Molecule: ribosomal RNA, 305 nt
Filed under: uncultured bacterium
Lineage: Bacteria
Description: bacterial SSU rRNA
Rfam family: Bacterial small subunit ribosomal RNA
Source: RNAcentral
GGGUACCUACGGGACGCAGCAGUGAGAAAUAUUGGUCAAUGGCCGGAAGGCUGAACCAGCCAUGCCGCGUGAAGGUCAGUGCCCUAUGGGCGUUAAACUUCUUUUGUGCGGGAGCAAUAAUGGUCACGUGUGGCCAGACGAGAGUACCGUACGAAUAAGCAUCGGCUAACUCCGUGCCAGCAGCCGCGGUAAUACGGGGGAUGCAAGCGUUAUCCGGAUUUAUUGGGUUUAAAGGGUACGUAGGCUGUGAGGCAAGUCAGCGGUGGAAUGCCCCCGCUCAACGGGGUGAAGUGCCAUUGAUACUG